Molecule: non-coding RNA, 23 nt
Filed under: Cricetulus griseus (Chinese hamster)
Lineage: Eukaryota; Metazoa; Chordata; Mammalia; Rodentia; Cricetidae
Source: RNAcentral
ACCCAGAGGUCGAUGGAUCGAAA